Molecule: ribosomal RNA, 676 nt
Filed under: Escherichia coli
Lineage: Bacteria; Pseudomonadati; Pseudomonadota; Gammaproteobacteria; Enterobacterales; Enterobacteriaceae
Description: partial 23S ribosomal RNA
Rfam family: Bacterial large subunit ribosomal RNA
Source: RNAcentral
UUCCUUGUCGGGUAAGUUCCGACCUGCACGAAUGGCGUAAUGAUGGCCAGGCUGUCUCCACCCGAGACUCAGUGAAAUUGAACUCGCUGUGAAGAUGCAGUGUACCCGCGGCAAGACGGAAAGACCCCGUGAACCUUUACUAUAGCUUGACACUGAACAUUGAGCCUUGAUGUGUAGGAUAGGUGGGAGGCUUUGAAGUGUGGACGCCAGUCUGCAUGGAGCCGACCUUGAAAUACCACCCUUUAAUGUUUGAUGUUCUAACGUGGACCCGUAAUCCGGGUUGCGGACAGUGUCUGGUGGGUAGUUUGACUGGGGCGGUCUCCUCCUAAAGAGUAACGGAGGAGCACGAAGGUUGGCUAAUCCUGGUCGGACAUCAGGAGGUUAGUGCAAUGGCAUAAGCCAGCUUGACUGCGAGCGUGACGGCGCGAGCAGGUGCGAAAGCAGGUCAUAGUGAUCCGGUGGUUCUGAAUGGAAGGGCCAUCGCUCAACGGAUAAAAGGUACUCCGGGGAUAACAGGCUGAUACCGCCCAAGAGUUCAUAUCGACGGCGGUGUUUGGCACCUCGAUGUCGGCUCAUCACAUCCUGGGGCUGAAGUAGGUCCCAAGGGUAUGGCUGUUCGCCAUUUAAAGUGGUACGCGAGCUGGGUUUAGAACGUCGUGAGACAGUUCGGUCCCUA